This 371-nucleotide ribosomal RNA is filed under the name uncultured organism. RNAcentral's name for it is "partial 16S ribosomal RNA". It matches the Rfam family "Bacterial small subunit ribosomal RNA", at positions 527 to 896 of the family's 1533-position model. The record is from RNAcentral.
GUAGGUGGCAAGCGUUUUCCGGAAUUAUUGGGCGUAAAGCGCGCGCAGGCGGUUCUUUAAGUCUGAUGUGAAAGCCCACGGCUCAACCGUGGAGGGUCAUUGGAAACUGGAGAACUUGAGUACAGAAGAGGAAAGCGGAAUUCCACGUGUAGCGGUGAAAUGCGUAGAGAUGUGGAGGAACACCAGUGGCGAAGGCGGCUUUCUGGUCUGUAACUGACGCUGAGGCGCGAAAGCGUGGGGAGCAAACAGGGAUUAGAUACCCUGGUAGUCCACGCCGUAAACGAUGAGUGCUAAGUGUUAGGGGGUUUCCCGCCCCUUAGUGCUGCAGCUAACGCAUUAAGCACUCCGCUGGGGAUACGGCCGCAAGGCUG